Long non-coding RNA from Rhineura floridana, 2058 nucleotides. RefSeq lists it as uncharacterized. The transcript is spliced from 3 exons. Lineage: Eukaryota; Metazoa; Chordata; Lepidosauria; Squamata; Rhineuridae. The record is from RefSeq and is a predicted model, not a curated record.
UGAAUGAUAGAGUGGCAGCCAGCUGCUUGCAGAGGAUCUCCUGAACACUGCUGUCAAGGAACAUAACUCAGAAAGUUCCUACCGUUGAGGAGAAGACUGUUCCUGCCAACAGGAAGUACCCAUUUCCAGGUGCACACCUUAACGCUGUGAGGGGGUUUGAGAGUGCUGAAGAAGCUGAGAGCAAUGCUGUCAGGAGUCUAGACCAAGAGGCUGGACUCCUAGCAGGGGCACCCAAGGCGGAAUAGUCAAACCACCUCUGAAUACCUCUUACCACAAAAACCCUAUGAACAGAGUAUCCAAAAUGCAACAUGAGAUAGUGCUGGAAGAUGAGACUCCCAGGUCAGAAGGCACUCACCGAGCUACUGGGGAAGAACAAAGGACAAGUAUGAGUAGUGCUGUGACUAAUGAUACAGCUGGGUCAAAGCCGAAAGGAAGCCCAGAGGCUGAUGUGCACAGAUGCAAAAGGAGAGUCCGGAGUUGUACAAUGCACACAAUCGGAACAUGGAAUGUGAGAAGUAUGAACUAGGGAAAGUUAGAAAUUAUCAAGCAAGAAAUGGAAUGCAUCAACAUUGUAAUACUUGGCGUGAGUGAAUUAAAAUGGACGGGAAUGGGUCAUUUUCAAUCAGGCAACUACAAAAUAUUUUAUGCAGGAAAUGAGAAAUUAAGAAGCAGUGAGGUUGUUUUAAUAGCGAGAAGUGAUGUAGCAAAAGCAAUUAGGAGCUAUAAUGCAAGGCCUGAGUGAGUGAUAUCAAUGAGAUUAAAUGGGAAACAUAUUAACAUAAUCAUCAUCCAAGUCUAUGCUCCAACAGCAAACGCAGAAGAAGAGGAACUGGAGAGUUUAUGCAGAAGUGCAGGAAGAAAUUGAUCACACACGAAAACAAGAUGUGCUGAUAAUCAUGGGGGACUAGAAUCUGAAAGUAGGGAACAGAGAAGAACUAGGAAUUGUGGGAAAAUGGGGCUUAGGAGAUAGAAAUGAAGCAGGAGAGAGACUUAUUGAAUUCUGUGAAGCCAAUAAUUUGUUUCUUGCAAACACAUUUUUUGAGCAACUGAAAAUACAACUGUACAUGUGGACAUCACCAAAUGGGCAAUAUAAGAAUAAAAUUGAUUAAAUUGGUAACAGGAGAUGUAGAAGUUCCAUACUUUCUGCGAAAACAAGACCAGGAGCAGACUGCGGUACAGAUCAUGAACUAGUAAUAUUGAAAAUCAGAGUAAAGCUAAAGAAGACCAACAAAGCAAUCAUCAUGCCAAAAUACAAUUUAAAUAACAUCCCAGAAGAAUAUAAAGAUCAAAUAAGGAACACAUUUGAGGCUUUAAAUUUAGUUGACACAGAACCAGAGCUAUGGAGUGAAGUCAGAGACAUUAUCAGGGAAGAAUGCAACAGACAAUACCUCUAGUUAAAAAGAGAGGAAGACAUCAAUGGAUGACUGACAAAACUCUUAAAAUAGUUAAAAAGAAAAGGAAAGCAAAAGCAAAAGGAGACAGAAACACAGUUAGAACCCUAAAUGCAACUAUACAGCAACUAGUACGUAGGGACAAAUAUAACUAUUACAAUAGUUAUUGUAUAGAAAUAGAAGAGGACAACAAAAAGGGUAGAACAAGAGCCCUAUUCCAAAAGAUUAGAGAAAUGAAAGGGAAAUUUAAACCAAGAGUAGGGAUGUUGAAUAAUCAACAGAGAAACACACUGACUGAACAAGAUGAAAUAAAAGGAAACAAUACACUGAAGAAUGUGAGGCGUCCUUCCCUGGCUCUCCCUGUCAGGUUCCUACCUGCUCAUGGUUACUGCCUGUCUCUAGGCACCACCAGGGACUCCACCAGUCCGGACCGCUCUCUCUUAUGGUUUCUCUCCCCGCUCUAGCACAGAUCUCAACAGAUCCCCCUGCUAGGCAACCACCAGUAACGUCCCAAUACUAAUAUUCCCAGAGACUCUGAAUACUGGUAUUGUUAUUCUCUUCACCGCUGCCACCAUUUGUUACAGUUCCCCUUCAGCCUUGGUCAUUACCUUACCCUCCCUUCUGGUCUGUGAAACCCCAGCCAAGGAUCAGGCCUUUGGUAAACCAA